CUUUAACUCUGGCGGCAGGCCUAACACAUGCAAGUCGAGCGGAUGAAGGGAGCUUGCUCCUGGAUUCAGCGGCGGACAGGUGAGUAAUGCCUAGGAAUCUGCCUGGUAGUGGGGGAUAACGUCCGGAAACGGGCGCUAAUACCGCAUACGUCCUGAGGGAGAAAGUGGGGGAUCUUCGGACCUCACGCUAUCAGAUGAGCCUAGGUCGGAUUAGCUAGUUGGUGGGGUAAAGGCCUACCAAGGCGACGAUCCGUAACUGGUCUGAGAGGAUGAUCAGUCACACUGGAACUGAGACACGGUCCAGACUCCUACGGGAGGCAGCAGUGGGGAAUAUUGGACAAUGGGCGAAAGCCUGAUCCAGCCAUGCCGCGUGUGUGAAGAAGGUCUUCGGAUUGUAAAGCACUUUAAGUUGGGAGGAAGGGCAGUAAGUUAAUACCUUGCUGUUUUGACGUUACCAACAGAAUAAGCACCGGCUAACUUCGUG
Molecule: ribosomal RNA, 484 nt
Filed under: uncultured bacterium
Lineage: Bacteria
Description: partial 16S ribosomal RNA
Rfam family: Bacterial small subunit ribosomal RNA
Source: RNAcentral